This 1431-nucleotide ribosomal RNA is filed under the name Staphylococcus sp. JMP-C. RNAcentral's name for it is "16S ribosomal RNA". It matches the Rfam family "Bacterial small subunit ribosomal RNA". Lineage: Bacteria; Bacillati; Bacillota; Bacilli; Caryophanales; Staphylococcaceae. The record is from RNAcentral.
AUACAUGCAGUCGAGCGAACAGAUGAGAAGCUUGCUUCUCUGAUGUUAGCGGCGGACGGGUGAGUAACACGUGGGUAACCUACCUAUAAGACUGGGAUAACUCCGGGAAACCGGGGCUAAUACCGGAUAAUAUUUUGAACCGCAUGGUUCAAUAGUGAAAGACGGUUUCGGCUGUCACUUAUAGAUGGACCCGCGCCGUAUUAGCUAGUUGGUAAGGUAACGGCUUACCAAGGCGACGAUACGUAGCCGACCUGAGAGGGUGAUCGGCCACACUGGAACUGAGACACGGUCCAGACUCCUACGGGAGGCAGCAGUAGGGAAUCUUCCGCAAUGGGCGAAAGCCUGACGGAGCAACGCCGCGUGAGUGAUGAAGGUCUUCGGAUCGUAAAACUCUGUUGUUAGGGAAGAACAAAUUUGUUAGUAACUGAACAAGUCUUGACGGUACCUAACCAGAAAGCCACGGCUAACUACGUGCCAGCAGCCGCGGUAAUACGUAGGUGGCAAGCGUUAUCCGGGAAUUAUUGGGCGUAAAGCGCGCGUAGGCGGUUUCUUAAGUCUGAUGUGAAAGCCCACGGCUCAACCGUGGAGGGUCAUUGGAAACUGGGAAACUUGAGUGCAGAAGAGGAGAGUGGAAUUCCAUGUGUAGCGGUGAAAUGCGCAGAGAUAUGGAGGAACACCAGUGGCGAAGGCGGCUCUCUGGUCUGUAACUGACGCUGAUGUGCGAAAGCGUGGGGAUCAAACAGGAUUAGAUACCCUGGUAGUCCACGCCGUAAACGAUGAGUGCUAAGUGUUAGGGGGUUUCCGCCCCUUAGUGCUGCAGCUAACGCAUUAAGCACUCCGCCUGGGGAGUACGACCGCAAGGUUGAAACUCAAAGGAAUUGACGGGGACCCGCACAAGCGGUGGAGCAUGUGGUUUAAUUCGAAGCAACGCGAAGAACCUUACCAAAUCUUGACAUCCUUUGACCGCUCUAGAGAUAGAGUCUUCCCCUUCGGGGGACAAAGUGACAGGUGGUGCAUGGUUGUCGUCAGCUCGUGUCGUGAGAUGUUGGGUUAAGUCCCGCAACGAGCGCAACCCUUAAGCUUAGUUGCCAUCAUUAAGUUGGGCACUCUAGGUUGACUGCCGGUGACAAACCGGAGGAAGGUGGGGAUGACGUCAAAUCAUCAUGCCCCUUAUGAUUUGGGCUACACACGUGCUACAAUGGAUAAUACAAAGGGCAGCGAAUCCGCGAGGCCAAGCAAAUCCCAUAAAAUUAUUCUCAGUUCGGAUUGUAGUCUGCAACUCGACUACAUGAAGCUGGAAUCGCUAGUAAUCGUAGAUCAGCAUGCUACGGUGAAUACGUUCCCGGGUCUUGUACACACCGCCCGUCACACCACGAGAGUUUGUAACACCCGAAGCCGGUGGAGUAACCUUUUAGGAGCUAGCCGUCGAGG